This 388-nucleotide ribosomal RNA is filed under the name uncultured bacterium. RNAcentral describes it as "bacterial SSU rRNA". It matches the Rfam family "Bacterial small subunit ribosomal RNA", at positions 29 to 442 of the family's 1533-position model. The record is from RNAcentral.
AGCGAACGCUAGCGGCGGGCCUAACACAUGCAAGUCGAGCGGGGAGCAAUCCCCAGCGGCGGACGGGUGAGUAACACGUAGGUUAUGUGCCCUUUGGUGGGGAAUAACCGUGGGAAACCAUGGCUAAUUCCGCAUAUCGAGCGAAAUCUUGAAAGCCUUCGGGCGCCAAAGGAGCAACCUGCGGCCCAUUAGCUUGUUGGUAGGGUAACGGCCUACCAAGGCGAUGAUGGGUAGCUGGUCUGAGAGGAUGAUCAGCCACACUGGAACUGAGACACGGUCCAGACUCCUACGGAGGCAGCAGUGGGGAAUAUUGCGCAAUGGGCGAAAGACCUGACGCAGCCACGCCGCGUGAGUGAUGAAGGCCUCGGUCGGUAAACGUACUAGUCGG